This 373-nucleotide ribosomal RNA is filed under the name uncultured organism. Its description in RNAcentral is "partial 16S ribosomal RNA". It matches the Rfam family "Bacterial small subunit ribosomal RNA", at positions 527 to 896 of the family's 1533-position model. The record is from RNAcentral.
GAAGGUGGCAAGCGUUGUUCGGAAUCACUGGGCUUAAAGCGCGCGUAGGCGGAAAUUCAAGUGUCCUGUGAAAUCCCCCGGCUCAACCGGGGAACUGCGGGGCAAACUGGAUUUCUUGAGGCAAGUAGGGGUACAUGGAACUCUUAGUGGAGCGGUGGAAUGCGUAGAUAUUAAGAGGAACGCCGAUGGUGAAGACAGUGUACUGGGCUUGUCCUGACGCUGAGGUGCGAAAGCGUGGGGAGCGAACGGGAUUAGAUACCCCGGGUAGUCCACGCCGUAAACGAUGUCUACUAGGUUGUGGAGGUUCUGACACCCCUCACAGUCGAAGCAAAAGUGUUAAGUAGACCGCCUGGGGAGUACGGUCGCAAGGCUA